RNAcentral lists this ribosomal RNA (538 nucleotides) under Boeremia exigua. RNAcentral describes it as "eukaryotic LSU rRNA". The stretch from base 169 to 322 matches the Rfam family "5.8S ribosomal RNA". The record is from RNAcentral. Lineage: Eukaryota; Fungi; Ascomycota; Dothideomycetes; Pleosporales; Didymellaceae.
CGUAGGUGAACCUGCGGAAGGAUCAUUACCUAGAGUUGUAGGCUUUGCCUACCAUCUCUUACCCAUGUCUUUUGAGUACCUUCGUUUCCUCGGCGGGUCCGCCCGCCGAUUGGACAAACUUAAACCCUUUGUAAUUGAAAUCAGCGUCUGAAAAAACAUAAUAGUUACAACUUUCAACAACGGAUCUCUUGGUUCUGGCAUCGAUGAAGAACGCAGCGAAAUGCGAUAAGUAGUGUGAAUUGCAGAAUUCAGUGAAUCAUCGAAUCUUUGAACGCACAUUGCGCCCCUUGGUAUUCCAUGGGGCAUGCCUGUUCGAGCGUCAUUUGUACCUUCAAGCUCUGCUUGGUGUUGGGUGUUUGUCUCGCCUUUGCGUGCAGACUCGCCUUAAAACAAUUGGCAGCCGGCGUAUUGAUUUCGGAGCGCAGUACAUCUCGCGCUUUGCACUCAUAACGACGACGUCCAAAAAGUACUUUUUACACUCUUGACCUCGGAUCAGGUAGGGAUACCCGCUGAACUUAAGCAUAUCAAUAAGCGGAGG